RNAcentral lists this transfer-messenger RNA (361 nucleotides) under Methylophaga thalassica. It matches the Rfam family "transfer-messenger RNA". From Rfam's summary of the family: Bacterial tmRNA, also known as 10Sa RNA or SsrA, is named for its dual tRNA and mRNA-like properties. Its role is to liberate the mRNA from a stalled ribosome. To accomplish this part of the tmRNA is used as a reading frame that ends in a translation stop signal. Lineage: Bacteria; Pseudomonadati; Pseudomonadota; Gammaproteobacteria; Thiotrichales; Piscirickettsiaceae. The record is from RNAcentral. RNAcentral also lists the same sequence under 2 other names.
GGGGGCGACCUGGCUUCGACGGGGAUUACAAAACCUAAGGUGCAUGCCGAGUACUUCAGUUCUCUCGUAAAAAAGACUGGAAUUAAAUUAGUUGCUAACGAUAACAACUACGCACUAGCUGCUUAAUAACCAGUGAAUGCCGUUCGACCAGAUCCGUGCUUGUGCGUCUGGUAUCGGGCGUCGACUCUCACAAGAUCGUCUCGAGGUAUGCUUGGUACUAAGAGAUUAAAACCUUACAAGAUCGCUACUUGUUUUCCCUGUUCAUCGGGUAGCAGGUAGUUAAAUUAAUAGAUGAAAUAAGCAUGUAGAUCCGAAGGCGGAGGAUCUGCGGACGCGGGUUCGAUUCCCGCCGCCUCCACCA